RNAcentral lists this non-coding RNA (46 nucleotides) under Trypanosoma brucei brucei. The record is from RNAcentral. Lineage: Eukaryota; Euglenozoa; Kinetoplastea; Trypanosomatida; Trypanosomatidae.
AAAAUCAAACUGAAUUGACAGAGUGUUAAUGUAGAUAGAUAUAAUU